ACAUUGAGCCAUUUCCACAGUAACUUCAGGGAGGUUCCUCAUCGUCCAGACACUUCAAAUCAAAAUGGUGACUCCACGUCUACUUUUGGCUCUUGCUCUCAUCGCAGCCAUCCUCCCAGCAGCGGAGGCCCAGAUCAUAGAGCAGUUCCUCUGCUUCAUUACAUCUACCAUCAGAGAGCUUGCUGGAUGCCUCUCUGACUCAAGUUCACCCGUCUGUUCUAUCCUCAACACCUUUCUUGAACCCCUCUGCCCUGACAUGCCGUGGUAAGUUU
Molecule: long non-coding RNA, 272 nt
Organism: Aplysia californica (California sea hare)
Lineage: Eukaryota; Metazoa; Mollusca; Gastropoda; Aplysiida; Aplysiidae
Exons: 3
Source: RefSeq, a predicted model, not a curated record